Molecule: ribosomal RNA, 253 nt
Filed under: uncultured bacterium
Lineage: Bacteria
Description: partial 16S ribosomal RNA
Rfam family: Bacterial small subunit ribosomal RNA
Source: RNAcentral
UACGUAGGGUCCGAGCGUUGUCCGGAAUUAUUGGGCGUAAAGGGCUCGUAGGCGGUUUGUCGCGUCGGGAGUGAAAACUCAGGGCUCAACCCUGAGCGUGCUUCCGAUACGGGCAGACUAGAGGUAUGCAGGGGAGAACGGAAUUCCUGGUGUAGCGGUGGAAUGCGCAGAUAUCAGGAGGAACACCGGUGGCGAAGGCGGUUCUCUGGGCAGUACCUGACGCUGAGGAGCGAAAGCAUGGGGAGCGAACAGG